RNAcentral lists this unclassified non-coding RNA (214 nucleotides) under Phaeosphaeria podocarpi. Its description in RNAcentral is "partial internal transcribed spacer region". The stretch from base 1 to 46 matches the Rfam family "Eukaryotic small subunit ribosomal RNA", at positions 1786 to 1831 of the family's 1831-position model. The record is from RNAcentral. Lineage: Eukaryota; Fungi; Ascomycota; Dothideomycetes; Pleosporales; Phaeosphaeriaceae.
AAGUCGUAACAAGGUUUCCGUAGGUGAACCUGCGGAAGGAUCAUUACAUUCAGUAGCCUAGCUACUUGUUUAUACCCUUGUUUUUUGCGUACUAUUGUUUCCUCGGCGGGCUUGCCUGUCGGUUGGACAAAACUAUAACCUUUUUUAAAUCUUCAAUCAGCGUCUGAAUUAUACAUAAUAAUUACAACUUUCAACAACGGAUCUCUUGGUUCUG